GGAUGUGAGGGCAACCUGGCUGCGACAUCUAUCACACCAUUGAUCGCCAGGGUUGAUUCGGCUGAUCUGGCUGGCUAGUCGGGUGUCCCUUUCCUCCCUCACUGCUCCACGUGCGUCCCUCCCGAAGCAGCACGAUGGGUGGAAGAGGACGACCAACCCCGUUAGAGGAGGACUGUUCUUCUCAGUCAAGGGUAUAGGAGUACCUGUGCUGCCCCACUAGAACCUCCAAACAAGCCUUCAAAACAAACAUUGACUUUGAAAUGACUAAAACAACUUGCUCUUAUCCUGAUGCUACCUAACAUCAUCUCA
This is an unclassified non-coding RNA of Vicugna pacos (alpaca), 309 nucleotides long. Its record names the gene 7SK. It matches the Rfam family "7SK RNA". From Rfam's summary of the family: 7SK was discovered as an abundant small nuclear RNA in the mid-70s but a possible function has only recently been suggested. Two independent studies have found that 7SK RNA binds the CDK9/cyclin T complex (known as elongation factor P-TEFb). NCBI's taxonomy places the organism in Eukaryota, Metazoa, Chordata, Mammalia, Artiodactyla, Camelidae. The record is from Ensembl.